CGUGGGUAACCUGCCCAAGAGAUCGGGAUAACACCUGGAAACAGAUGCUAAUACCGGAUAACAACAGAUGAUGCCUAUCAACUGUUUAAAAGAUGGUUCUGCUAUCACUCUUGGAUGGACCUGCGGUGCAUUAGCUAGUUGGUAGGGUAACGGCCUACCAAGGCGAUGAUGCAUAGCCGAGUUGAGAGACUGAUCGGCCACAUUGGGACUGAGACACGGCCCAAACUCCUACGGGAGGCANCAGUA
This 246-nucleotide ribosomal RNA is filed under the name uncultured Lactobacillus sp. Its description in RNAcentral is "partial 16S ribosomal RNA". It matches the Rfam family "Bacterial small subunit ribosomal RNA", at positions 116 to 355 of the family's 1533-position model. Lineage: Bacteria; Bacillati; Bacillota; Bacilli; Lactobacillales; Lactobacillaceae. The record is from RNAcentral.